AGAAUCAACGCUGGCGGCGUGCCUAACACAUGCAAGUCGCACGAGAAAGGGUAGCAAUACCUGAGUAAAGUGGCGACCGGGUGAGUAACACGUGACUAACCUACCUUCGAGUGGGGGAUAACCUCGGGAAACCGAGGCUAAUACCGCAUAACAUCGCAAGAUCAAAGCAGCAAUGCGCUGGAAGAGGGGGUCGCGGCUGAUUAGCUAGUUGGCGGGUAACGCCCACCAAGGCGAAGAUCGGUA
RNAcentral lists this ribosomal RNA (243 nucleotides) under uncultured bacterium. Its description in RNAcentral is "partial small subunit ribosomal RNA". It matches the Rfam family "Bacterial small subunit ribosomal RNA", at positions 26 to 285 of the family's 1533-position model. The record is from RNAcentral.